RNAcentral lists this unclassified non-coding RNA (229 nucleotides) under Hevea brasiliensis (rubber tree). The record is from RNAcentral. Lineage: Eukaryota; Viridiplantae; Streptophyta; Magnoliopsida; Malpighiales; Euphorbiaceae.
AACAGCUAGUAGGAAUGAAGGAAAUGUUAUUUCCCAUUCUUGCUGGAAUCUUAUCAGCACUUCGGAGGGUGAUCGCAAGAAGGGUCUCACUUAAGAACCAACUGAAGAGGCGACUCCAUGCCAUAACCCUUACUUCUGCGACAUGCUUUUUGUUUCCUGUUGCCAUGUGGGACAUGAUUAUAGGAUCUAACAAUGUAGAGCUGCCCUUUUCUGCCUGGGCUUUUUCAAG